This 2389-nucleotide ribosomal RNA is filed under the name Bacillus cereus ATCC 10876. RNAcentral describes it as "bacterial LSU rRNA". It matches the Rfam family "Bacterial large subunit ribosomal RNA", at positions 3 to 2394 of the family's 2925-position model. The record is from RNAcentral. Lineage: Bacteria; Bacillati; Bacillota; Bacilli; Caryophanales; Bacillaceae.
UUAAGUUAGAAAGGGCGCACGGUGGAUGCCUUGACACUAGGAGUCGAUGAAGGACGGGACUAACGCCGAUAUGCUUCGGGGAGCUGUAAGUAAGCUUUGAUCCGAAGAUUUCCGAAUGGGGAAACCCACCAUACGUAAUGGUAUGGUAUCCUUAUCUGAAUACAUAGGGUAAGGAAGACAGACCCAGGGAACUGAAACAUCUAAGUACCUGGAGGAAGAGAAAGCAAAUGCGAUUUCCUGAGUAGCGGCGAGCGAAACGGAACAUAGCCCAAACCAAGAGGCUUGCCUCUUGGGGUUGUAGGACAUUCUAUACGGAGUUACAAAGGAACGAGGUAGACGAAGCGACCUGGAAAGGUCCGUCGUAGAGGGUAACAACCCCGUAGUCGAAACUUCGUUCUCUCUUGAAUGUAUCCUGAGUACGGCGGAACACGUGAAAUUCCGUCGGAAUCUGGGAGGACCAUCUCCCAAGGCUAAAUACUCCCUAGUGAUCGAUAGUGAACCAGUACCGUGAGGGAAAGGUGAAAAGCACCCCGGAAGGGGAGUGAAAGAGAUCCUGAAACCGUGUGCCUACAAAUAGUCAGAGCCCGUUAACGGGUGAUGGCGUGCCUUUUGUAGAAUGAACCGGCGAGUUACGAUCCCGUGCGAGGUUAAGCUGAAGAGGCGGAGCCGCAGCGAAAGCGAGUCUGAAUAGGGCGUUUAGUACGUGGUCGUAGACCCGAAACCAGGUGAUCUACCCAUGUCCAGGGUGAAGUUCAGGUAACACUGAAUGGAGGCCCGAACCCACGCACGUUGAAAAGUGCGGGGAUGAGGUGUGGGUAGCGGAGAAAUUCCAAUCGAACCUGGAGAUAGCUGGUUCUCCCCGAAAUAGCUUUAGGGCUAGCCUUAAGUGUAAGAGUCUUGGAGGUAGAGCACUGAUUGGACUAGGGGUCCUCAUCGGAUUACCGAAUUCAGUCAAACUCCGAAUGCCAAUGACUUAUCCUUAGGAGUCAGACUGCGAGUGAUAAGAUCCGUAGUCAAAAGGGAAACAGCCCAGACCGCCAGCUAAGGUCCCAAAGUGUGUAUUAAGUGGAAAAGGAUGUGGAGUUGCUUAGACAACUAGGAUGUUGGCUUAGAAGCAGCCACCAUUUAAAGAGUGCGUAAUAGCUCACUAGUCGAGUGACUCUGCGCCGAAAAUGUACCGGGGCUAAAUACACCACCGAAGCUGCGGAUUGAUACCAAUGGUAUCAGUGGUAGGGGAGCGUUCUAAGGACAGUGAAGUCAGACCGUAAGGACUGGUGGAGUGCUUAGAAGUGAGAAUGCCGGUAUGAGUAGCGAAAGACGGGUGAGAAUCCCGUCCACCGAAUGCCUAAGGUUUCCUGAGGAAGGCUCGUCCGCUCAGGGUUAGUCAGGACCUAAGCCGAGGCCGACAGGCGUAGGCGAUGGACAACAGGUUGAUAUUCCUGUACCACCUCUUUAUCGUUUGAGCAAUGGAGGGACGCAGAAGGAUAGAAGAAGCGUGCGAUUGGUUGUGCACGUCCAAGCAGUUAGGCUGAUAAGUAGGCAAAUCCGCUUAUCGUGAAGGCUGAGCUGUGAUGGGGAAGCUCCUUAUGGAGCGAAGUCUUUGAUUCCCCGCUGCCAAGAAAAGCUUCUAGCGAGAUAAAAGGUGCCUGUACCGCAAACCGACACAGGUAGGCGAGGAGAGAAUCCUAAGGUGUGCGAGAGAACUCUGGUUAAGGAACUCGGCAAAAUGACCCCGUAACUUCGGGAGAAGGGGUGCUUUCUUAACGGAAAGCCGCAGUGAAUAGGCCCAAGCGACUGUUUAGCAAAAACACAGCUCUCUGCGAAGCCGUAAGGCGAAGUAUAGGGGGUGACACCUGCCCGGUGCUGGAAGGUUAAGGAGAGGGGUUAGCGUAAGCGAAGCUCUGAACUGAAGCCCCAGUAAACGGCGGCCGUAACUAUAACGGUCCUAAGGUAGCGAAAUUCCUUGUCGGGUAAGUUCCGACCCGCACGAAAGGUGUAACGAUUUGGGCACUGUCUCAACCAGAGACUCGGUGAAAUUAUAGUACCUGUGAAGAUGCAGGUUACCCGCGACAGGACGGAAAGACCCCGUGGAGCUUUACUGUAGCCUGAUAUUGAAUUUUGGUACAGUUUGUACAGGAUAGGCGGGAGCCAUUGAAACCGGAGCGCUAGCUUCGGUGGAGGCGCUGGUGGGAUACCGCCCUGACUGUAUUGAAAUUCUAACCUACGGGUCUUAUCGACCCGGGAGACAGUGUCAGGUGGGCAGUUUGACUGGGGCGGUCGCCUCCUAAAGUGUAACGGAGGCGCCCAAAGGUUCCCUCAGAAUGGUUGGAAAUCAUUCGUAGAGUGCAAAGGCAUAAGGGAGCUUGACUGCGAGACCUACAAGUCGAGC